This 428-nucleotide ribosomal RNA is filed under the name Chloroflexota bacterium. RNAcentral describes it as "Chloroflexi bacterium partial 16S ribosomal RNA". It matches the Rfam family "Bacterial small subunit ribosomal RNA", at positions 355 to 776 of the family's 1533-position model. The record is from RNAcentral. Lineage: Bacteria; Bacillati; Chloroflexota. RNAcentral also lists the same sequence under 1 other name.
UAGGGAAUCUUCGGCAAUGGACGAAAGUCUGACCGAGCAACGCCGCGUGAGUGAAGAAGGUUUUCGGAUCGUAAAACUCUGUUGUUAGAGAAGAACAAGGACGUUAGUAACUGAACGUCCCCUGACGGUAUCUAACCAGAAAGCCACGGCUAACUACGUGCCAGCAGCCGCGGUAAUACGUAGGUGGCAAGCGUUGUCCGGAUUUAUUGGGCGUAAAGCGAGCGCAGGCGGUUUCUUAAGUCUGAUGUGAAAGCCCCCGGCUCAACCGGGGAGGGUCAUUGGAACUGGGAGACUUGAGUGCAGAAGAGGAGAGUGGAAUUCCAUGUGUAGCGGUGAAAUGCGUAGAUAUAUGGAGGAACACCAGUGGCGAAGGCGGCUCUCUGGUCUGUAACUGACGCUGAGGCUCGAAAGCGUGGGGAGCAAACAGG